UAUAAUCGAGGACACCUACCUAGACCUAGUAACCAAGCUAAAUACUUUGUUAAAUAAGUCUGCAUUGCGGACAGCUACUCCAUGUACCUCCAAAAUAAAGCUUCCUAAUGUAGUCAUACCUACAUUCACUGAUUUACCUUCUAUGACGAAGUCAACAACUUCAACUCUGCGAAAUAUGAUUUCGGAGGUGAAGCAACAUCUGGCUGCACUCAGAAACCUGGACGAACCAGUAGACUCCUGGGACAGCAUU
Molecule: long non-coding RNA, 250 nt
Organism: Melitaea cinxia (Glanville fritillary)
Lineage: Eukaryota; Metazoa; Arthropoda; Insecta; Lepidoptera; Nymphalidae
Exons: 2
Source: RefSeq, a predicted model, not a curated record